Long non-coding RNA from Arachis stenosperma, 1585 nucleotides. RefSeq lists it as uncharacterized. The transcript has 4 exons. The record is from RefSeq and is a predicted model, not a curated record. Lineage: Eukaryota; Viridiplantae; Streptophyta; Magnoliopsida; Fabales; Fabaceae.
UCUCUCGUCAAUGUCUCACUGAAUCUCGAGCUCUCUCAUCUCUCUGUGACUCACUGGUUCUCGCACUCAGUCGCCCCCGUGCGCCUCUCCUGCGCUCGUCGUCGCCGGAUGGCAGAAGAAGAUCCCGGGACUAGUCAUCGUCGUCGCUCCCCGUCUUGUCAUCGUCUUGCACUCAGUAGCGCCUUCCUUGUGCUCAUCGUUGCCGGCGACAGAAGAAGCAGGUCCAGGAAGGAGCACGGUUCUGUCCCUCAUAGAGAGAUUCUAUGACUCUUCAUCAGGACAAAUUUUGCUAGAUGGGAAUGAUGUUAAGAAUUUGACGUUAAAAUGAUUGAGGCAGCAAAUAGGACUAGUGAGCCAAGAACCGGCUUUAUUUGCAACAACAAUGAAAAAAAACAUACUCAAGUCUAAGAAGAAGCUGUAAGAGUAGCCAAUGCUCAUUCUUUCAUUAUCAAACUUCCAGAAAGUUAUAAAACACAGAUGAGACGACAAAUGCGUUGGACUCCAAGUCAGAAAAGCUUGUGCAAGAAGCACUUGAUAAGUUUAUGAUUGGUAGAACAACACUUGUGAUUGCACACCGCCUUUCCACGAUUCGCAAAGCUGACCUUGUUGCAAUACUUCAGCAAGGAAAUGUAUCGGAACUCAUGAUGAGCUUUUUGCCAAAGGCGAAAAUGGAGUCUAUGCCAAGCUUAUCAGGAUGCAAGAGGCUGCCCAUGAAACUGCCAUGAAUAAUGCUAGAAAGAGUAGUGCAAGAGGCACCAACAACCGUAGCAGAACACAUCAAAUGGAGAAGAACCAUAAAUCAUUGAGCCGGCACAACUACAUCAUCGCAGGAGAAACAUAUCCAAGGCCACAAAUUCAAUCUGUAAGAUGCAAGUCCACCAUUUCGUCUAUUCUCCUUUUCACAUUCUCUAACAACAACAACAGCACCAACAACAAUGAUGAAAGGGUAAAAAAAAUGAGAGAAGAGAUAAAGGUUUUAAAAGGUACCAUUGUAGAACUAGGUGUUGAAGUCAUCAGUGAUAGUAGUCCUCAGCAAACUUCCCGCCUUUUGGUUCUCUGGCGAUAACAACCACCAGUGAAUAAAAUUUUCUUCCAAUCUUUUUGUGAAGUCACGGAGUCCAGUCUUUGUCGGAGACCGCGUCCUCGCACUAUGCAACGUUGGCUCGUUGUGGCUGAUGGAGGUCGCGACGAUGCUGAUGGUUGGUGAAUUGAAGUCGCUGCGACUGAUGGAGGUCGCGCGACAGUGCUAACCGCAUUCUUUUUAUUUAUUAUUGUUUUCAAAGUAAUUAACCUUUAUAUAGAUUGAAUUUUGUAAAUUGCAAGGUGAGUAUAGACUUCGUUAGUGAUUGGUUGUUGAUCCAUAUACUUCACCAAUUGAGUAGCGAAUUCUUCCCACAAAAUGCAUCCAAUGUUACUUUUUUCCUGAUUCAAAAUAGUGGUUCCAUAUAAAAGCACUUAAAAGAUAUUACAUUAAAACGAAAAGCAUGUAUAAAUUUUUGUACUCCCAACCACAUUCCCAAACUUCACAUACAACUCAACUCAGGCAUCUUUAUUCCAUAAAAAUUUAUAUGAUAAUGAAACAAUA